CCAAUAGCGUAUAUUAAAGUUGUUGCGGUUAAAAAGCUCGUAGUUGAAUUUCGGGGUCUGUCCGUCGGUCGGGCUUCACAGUCCGUACUGGUGUGAUGGGUUCCUACCUUCUGAAUAACCGGCAUGCCAUUCAGUUGGUGCGCCGGGGGAGCAGAGCUAUUACCUUGAAAAAAUUAGAGUGCUUAAAGCAGGCUAGUGCUUGAAUAGAUUAGCAUGACAUAAUAAAAUAGGACGGCAUGGUUCUAUUUUGUUGGUUUCUAGGAUCACCGUAAUGAUUAAUAGGGAUAGUUGGGGGCAUUAGUAUUCAAUUGUCAGAGGUGAAAUUCUUGGAUUUAUUGAAGACUAACUUCUGCGAAAGCAUUUGCCAAGGAUGUUUUCAUUAAUCAAGAACGAAAGUUAGGGGAUCGAAGACGAUCAGAUACCGUCGUAGUCUUAACCAUAAACUAUGCCGACUAGGGAUCGGACGAUGUUAAUUUUUUAAUGACUCGUUCGGCGCCUUACG
This 502-nucleotide ribosomal RNA is filed under the name uncultured Glomeromycotina. RNAcentral's name for it is "partial small subunit ribosomal RNA". It matches the Rfam family "Eukaryotic small subunit ribosomal RNA", at positions 591 to 1092 of the family's 1831-position model. Lineage: Eukaryota; Fungi; Glomeromycota. The record is from RNAcentral.